UUUCCGUAGGUGAACCUGCGGAAGGAUCAUUACUGAGUGAGGGCCCCUCGGGGUCCGACCUCCCACCCGUGUUUAACGAACCUUGUUGCUUCGGCGGGCCCGCCUCACGGCCGCCGGGGGGCAUCUGCCCCCGGGCCCGCGCCCGCCGAAGCCACCUGUGAAUGCUGUCUGAAGUAUGCAGUCUGAGACAAUUAUUAAAUUAAUUAAAACUUUCAACAACGGAUCUCUUGGUUCCG
RNAcentral lists this unclassified non-coding RNA (236 nucleotides) under plant metagenome. Its description in RNAcentral is "partial contains small subunit ribosomal RNA, internal transcribed spacer 1, and 5.8S ribosomal RNA". The record is from RNAcentral.